AAUUGCGACUUGUAUGAACUUUUAAAAAGUCCAUUCAAAUAUGGGUGUAUGCAAUUAGGUUUUAAGGGGAGAGCUAUAAAUAACAAAGACCAUAAUAAAUCCAACCUCCCCCCAAAGUAUUUUCAUCAGACGUUUUUCUCUUGCCCUAGCUUUUCUCUCUGCAACAGAAGGCGAAUAGCUUCCUUCCUCCAUCUGUGAAGGUAUGCUCCCUAUUUUUUCUUUGAU
RNAcentral lists this long non-coding RNA (225 nucleotides) under Prunus persica (peach). Its description in RNAcentral is "long non-coding RNA (PPER_LNC003659)". Lineage: Eukaryota; Viridiplantae; Streptophyta; Magnoliopsida; Rosales; Rosaceae. The record is from RNAcentral.